GAGUAGCAUCUACCAGAAUUAAUAAAGACAGAAAAUAAAUAGCUUUGUAAAGGAAUGUUAUGGAGACAAUCACUGGCCAAUGCCAACAGACUACUUCAAAAGAAGUCAGAGCAAAAGUUUUUCAACGGAAUAGAGUCUGUUAGGAAUUCAAGAAAGUAUUACAGGUUUUCUACUUCGUUUUCUUUAAAUCAUUCAGGAAGAUACCACACCUGCGAAAGGUGAGCAGACAGCCAUAGAAAAAGACCAGUGAGCUCAGACAAGAUGAAAAACACAGUAGCAGAAUUGAAAAAAAAUCCUACAUGCAAGCAUCGUGUAACAGAUUCAAUGCUGCGGAAAAUCUGAUUGGCUAAGAAGAUAAUAUGCGUGAGAAAUUCUCCUGUACCUAAAAAUGAAAGUGGAGGAUAUGAAAGAGAUGAGGAAGUGAGAAUGAUGGGAAGAAAAAAGGGACAAAGAUGACAGUUCAGGGAUGCCUCGUGUAUGUGUCAGAAAGCAUAGACCAAAUGGAAAAGAAGCAUUAAACAAAUAGGAACUUUCCUGAGCUACAGAAAGAAUCGAAUCUUCAGAUUCAAAAGGCUCAUCAAAAACAAGGCAAAAUUAGUUAAAAGACCCUAACAUCUAGGCUCUUUCAAUUUUGGGGCAUAAAGAAAGGACUCAUAAUAAAAAAAAAAAAAAAAAAAAAAAAAAAAGAAAAAGAAAAAGAAAAAACAACCACAAAAGAACAACAAAAAAUCAGGUAACUCACAAAGGACCAAAAAUCAUCCUAGUUCACACUUCUCUACUGACGUUUGCAUCAAAAUCCAGAUGAUGAUAGGGUCAUGUUUUUAAAAUUUUGAGAGAAAACAAUGGUGAGACAAAAGAAACUGUCUAGAGAGAAAGGUCAGUGCAUUUGAACAGGUAAAGCAAAGGAACAGCUGAAAAUUAGAAAAGCAGAGGGGAAAGCUGAUUCAUCUAUUCUUCAUACACACAAAUUUAAAAGCACUUCUAUCGAAUAAAAAUUUUAGUCAAAAAACCCCUUAAGCAUCAGAAAAGAGGAAGAUGUAGCAAAAUGGAGAGAUUAAUGUUUCUGCGUCAGACAGCAGCAAGACAAGUCAAUAAUUUUCCUUUAAAGCAACUCAGGGGAGAUCUCAGGAACAUGUUUGCCUAUACAGGACAGAUGUUGAUGUGCUGAAGUGUGGCUUUCUGUCCCUGUGCCCCUGCUCCACCCCCACACCUUCCAAAGCCCCCCGGGGCACUUAGGUGUUGCAGCGGCAGCAUCUGCACUUUGCUUGCAGGGAAGCUCAGACCCGAUGAUUCAGCAGAUGGAGUGCUAAAUUAGGGAGGAACUGUCUCCUUGUCAGAGAGGGUGAAAGAACCCCAUUUGGCUCACCUUGCCUAUGAAACCAUCCAGCCCAGCCAAGGAAGGGAUGUGAUGGCUGAGACAAGGGUUUUCAGAGCUGACCCAGCUCUGCUCACCUGCCCUCUCUGUGCACCCCUCUUCUGUCCUCCAGAGGUGCAGCCCGCACCUGAAAAGCUGUUGGCUCAAUCUACCCAAACACCCAUUGUGUUUUCCAACCUUUUCACCUCUAUUCUUUUUUUUUGAUUAAAAAAUAUCAUACUGAAAUACAGUUGAUUUAUAGAGUUGUGAUAAUUUCUCUGUACAGCAAAGUGAUUCAGUUAUAUACAUACACAUAUCCAUUCUUUUUUAGAUUCUUGUCCAUACAGGUUAUUAUAGACUAUUGGGUAGCAUUCUGUGUGCUGUACGGUAGGUCCUGGUUGACCAUCCAUUCCGUAUAUCACCACAAAGUGCAUAUGCCAGUCCCAAAUCCUCAGUCCAUCCCUCUUCCCAGUCUGUCUUGUUUGGUAACCAUAGUGUGUUUUUAAAAUCUGUGAGUCUGAUUCUGUUUUGUAAAUAUGCUCAUUUGUAUCAUUUUUUUUUUUAGAUCCCACAUGUAAGUGGUCUCAUAUAAUAUUUGUCUUUAUCUGACUUAAUUCACUCAGGAUGAUAAUCUCUGGGUCCAUCUAUGUUGCUGCAAAUGGCAUUACUUCAUUCUUUUUUAUGGCUGAGUAAUAUUCCACUGUAUAUCUGUGCCAUAUCUUCUUUGUCCAUUCAUUCCUCUGUCAAUAGAUAUUUAGGUUGCUUCCCUGUCUUGGUUAUUGUAAACAGUGCUGCAAUGAACACUGGGGUGCAUUAUCUUUUCAAAUUAUGAUUUUUUUUUUCCUGGAUGUAUCCCCUGGAGUGGGAUUGCAGGAAAUGGUAGCUCUAUUUUUAGUUUUUAAAAGAACCUCCAUACCAGUUGUAUCAAUUUACAUUCCCACCAGAGGUGUAGGGGGAAACCCCUUUUCUCUACACCCUCUCAGCUUUUCUGGUUUGUAGACUUUUUUGAUGAUGGCCACUUCCAUUCACUUUAUUUCCACACCCACCAUUCUUUCAAGUGGAUGUAUUAUGAUUCUCUCUGAUGCUCAGAUCCCUGCGGUGUGUUGUCGCCGAGCUGAGCGGGGCUAUCACUGAAAACAGUGGCGCCCUCCGCCCCUCCAGCUCCUCCUCCAGCCUGGUCAGGAGAGAGAGCCAGUGCUUUUUCUAAAGGAAAACCCUCAACUCAACUCUUAUUCUCAGACUCCUAGUUUGCUUAUUGGUUGCAGGAAAUUUCUAUUUCUUUGCUAACUUUCCACCCAGUUGACAACAGGCUUCUAGUGCCUUCCCACACCCAUCCUAAGAACACGUGUCAGUCUGUGCCCUGGGGGCUGGGCAGCUGCUAUGGCCGAGAGGCAGCGCCUGAAGGCUUUGUCCUAUUAAGUUUCCAAGGUGAUGCUGACCAUGUGGGGGCGGGAGCGGGGUGCCCUGGGAACAUGCCCUCACCCAUCUUUCCAUUAUAGCCAGGCCACUGGAUACCCGCCACUCCCACCUGGUCUGUCCAGACUACCUCUGAGCUUGUUCUCGGAUGUUCCCAAUGCCAUCGUCUUUCCCUGAGCCUCGGACCCUCCUCUGACAGCUCCUGUUACUCUUUCUCUGCAUCCUCCCAGAGAGACAUGCUGCCCCGUGUGGUCCAUGGAUCUGGCGUGAUCUUUCCACCCUGCAGGACACAUCUCAGAUCAGCCCACAGCCCUCAAGCAGACUGUGUUUUCCAAAGAUGCCCUUCACAACAUCUCCCCGCAAAGAUGCGGAGUCCAAGCCUCCUCUCCUUGAAGCUGGGCUCCUCUGCGACCAACAGAAUGUGGCACGGUGACUCUGUGACUUCCAAAGCUAGGCCAGGAGAGGUAAGGUCAUGGCCUCCUUGUUCUCUUAGGAGGCCCAUCCUCGGGGAAGGAGAGACCACAUAAGAAGGCCCAUAACCCCAGGCCGCCAUGCUGGAGAGACCACCAUACUGGAGAGGCCGCCAUGCUGGAGAGGGUGCCUUGCUGGAGAGGCCAUAUGUAGGCACCUGGGUGGACAGUCCCAGCUGAGUGCAGCCCUCCAGCCACUCCUGCAAAAACACCAGAAACAGCUGAUGCUCAUUAUUCACACUCUAUGCACCUGUGCGUUAGCCUAGUCACUAAAAUGUAUGUGUAACCCCCACAUCCACACUCACGGCACCUUUGUGGCCAUUCAGGGAUGUGUGCAGAGCAGCAACACACGGGCAUAUUUCAGCGGAGUCCAUCUCAUACUGGAAAUAAAUGUCCUUUUUGUGGUCUAUUUAGUGCUAUGUUUUCUGCAUUUUUGUGCUUUUCGUUGGGGAUUUUGCCAUUUGAAAUAGUUUCCACGCCUCGUGCUGACACGCUGUCUGUUGUCCUAAGUGCGGGAAGGCUGUGAUGCGCCUUAUGGGGAGAAAAUCCUCUUGGGAGAUGAGCUUCAUUCAGGCCUGAGCUGUGGCGCCGGUGGCCCUGAGUUCCAUGUUAAUGACCCAACAACAUGGUCCAUCUCAGCCAAGGAAGAGGACGUUUGCUAACCUGUCCAGAGGUCACUCCAGAAACUGUGAGUGACAUGUUGUAGUAAGUAUGGAACUGGAAAAGUUGGAGAGUGGCUAACUUGGCAGACUCAUGAAAUGAUGACGGAUUAAAAAAAAUAUAGUGAAUGGCACUGCGGUGAGGCUAGAAGCCAAAAAACAUUCAGGUCACCUUACCCUGCAUUGGGAGGACGCUGAGUCCUUUUCAGCUGGUGUUUUAGUGUUUAGAGUAAAGAAGUACCACUAAAUUAUUAUGAUAACUAAUCGAAUUCAUUAUUUUGAAGAAAUAUAUAAAGUGUCUUUAAAUAGAGACACAUAAAGAAUUCCCACUUGUGGCACAGUGCGUUAAGGAUCUAGUGUUGUCUCUGUAGUGGCUCAGGUGGCUGCAGAAGUUACCAGUUUAAUCCCCAGCCCAGUGCAGUGGGUCAAGGAUCCAGUGUUGCCACAGCUGUGGUGUAGGUUGCAGCUGCAGCUUGGAUUAGAUCCCUGGCCUGGGAACCUCCUUAUGCUGUAUGUGUGGCCAUUAAAACAAAACAAAACAAAAACCUCACAAAAACCCCAGAAGCACUGAUAAAACAGAGUUGCUUAGGGAUCAGUUGACAGAAAUGUUGUGAUGUCACCGUGACUAUCCCCCAGGAGCAAAAGCUCAGUAUCUGCUAAUUUAAGGCUCCUGUGGUUUUGCAACACAUAACCUCGGUGAAGAGGGAGCCUCUGCUGUCUCUCAGUGAGGCUGCCCCGUGCCCUCCAGGCUGGUCAUCACCAGCUGAGCUCGAGACGUCAGCCGACAACAGGGGGAGCAGAGGGAUCGGGGAGCCGAAUUCCUGGCUCAGGGAACCAGGGAGGUGUGUACAGGACAAUGGCUGCUGUUGGAUCCGCUGUGUUGGGGUCAUUGGAGACGGCAGGUGGUCACACAGGAGGUGGCACCAGAUGUGGUAAUUGCUAGGGCUUCUCUUCUCCUUUUUUCUAACCCUAAUACUGCACACUGGGGUAUUCCCAGUGAUUUACGGGUGAGGAAACUGAGGAUUGGAGAGUCUAACCAGCUUGGAGGUGCUGGGGCUUGAAGUGGUGACGUAGGAUCUCAACCCAGCCACGGUGAAGCCCAGACUCACGCCCUCCCUGCUGGCUUCGCUGUCUGCUGAAAUAACUGAAGUCACCCACUCCAGGGGCUCAGGCCCCGGCCUCUUCUUUCCUUUUCUGUCCCUCAGGUUGUGUCUGCAUGACAAUUAAGAACACCGCUGAGUUUAUUUGUUCCCUUUAGUUUGGGGAUUUUGGCAGAAUUUUUAGUCAUGUGCAGAGUGAAUUUUUUUUUUUUUUUUUUUUUUAGGGCUGCUCCCACAGCAUAUGGAGGUUCCCAGGCUAGGGGUCCAAUCGGAGCUGUAGCCACUGCCUACACCACAGCCACAGCAAAGCCAGAUUUGAGCCAUAUCUGCAGCCUACACCCCAGCUCACGGCAACACAAGAUCCUUAACCCACUGAGCAAGACCAGGGAUCGAACCCGUGUUCUCAUGGAUACUGGUCUGGUCCAUUAACCGCUGAGCCACAACAGGAACUCCCAGUGGUGUGUAUGUUAAGCAGAAAUGAGAUGUCCUGUUGGAAAGCAUUGUUCAGGCUUUAAAAAGAGGACUGUGGGGACAGGUGCUGUGAGGAAAGACUCCUCGAGAGUGAGACGUGGGCAUCAGCAUGUAAGCUGGGCUUGCCGUGUCCCUGCCGGUCAGGGGGUCAGCUGGCCAUGCCUGGUCUCCGGAGAGCGAGGCUGAGUUUCUCCAAAAGCUUAUGGGGGGAGGGUGUCUGCUCCAGGAGAACCCCUGGGGCUUAGCUCCCAAAUGUUGAAGGGGAGGUUCAUGGACGUGUGGUUUUAUGUGUCCAGCAGGGACCCUACCCAGUGUCAUUGUUGCUGGUGGGGAGUGGAACGUGAAAAGGGAGCUUGAGCUUAAAGUGCCUGCAUUGGUUUGUUUGUUUGUUUGUUUGUUUGGCUGUGCCCAUGGCAUGCAGAAAUUCCUGGGCCAGGGAUCGAAUCCAUGCUGCAGCAGGGACCUGAGCCACAGCAGCGACAACACCAGCUCCUUAAGCCCUUGUGCUACCGGGGGACUCCCGCUUGUUUUUACUCUAGGCAGACAACGGCAAAAGGGAGGUCGGUUGAACCCUGGUGGAUGAUUGCUCUUCCUGAGAUGGGAGGCUGGGGUCGAGGGGCCCAGUCGGACGGGAGCCUUGCUGGGAGGAGCACGUCCUAAAGGAAAAGGCAAGACAGUGGGGCCUUCCAGCUUCCGGGUGUUCGUGUGCCCCCGGGUAUCCAGCUCUGGAGGAAGCCCUCGGCGAGCACUGUGCCCCUGGCUCUCACAUCAGCCUCCCCGCCACCCAGUGAGACAGGCUCGCAGUCAGCAGGAUGAGGGUCCCCUAGAGCGGCCUGCGUCCUAACGCCCGCAACUUGGGACGACACCACCUUACAAGGCAAAGGGGUUAGGAUUGCUAACCCGUUUAUCUUAAAAUAGGGAGCUUGGCUUAGAUUAUCCAGAUGGGCCCAGUGCAAUCCCAAGAGUCCUUCCACAUGGAGUCCGCCAGCAGUAAAGUCACUGGGACCGUCUGGGAAGGACCAGCCCGGCCACUGCUGGCUUUGGAGAUGGAGGCAGAGGCCACCGGGCUGGAAUGCGGGUGGCUUCUGGAAGCUGGAAAAGGCCAGAACACCGAGCCAAAAGGAACACGGCCUGUAACACUAGGACUCUGGGCCCCCUGAACGGGAAGUUAAGAAGUUUGGGGGGUUUGCACCCUUCUUGUUUGUGAUCGUGAUGCUGGGAAUAGGAAACCGACCCGGGGUUGUUUCCCACAGGUUAGGCAUGGUGAACGGAGGCUUGGGCAAACCAGGUGACUCUUACCCAAGUCGGCAACAUGCACAAGCCCAAGUGACAGAGCCCCCCGUUCAGUCUGCGCGGCUCCAGAGUCCGCACCGUGCAGCCCAGGAUUCAGUCAGGACUCAGGCUGUGUCUUACUGGUGGAAUUAGACUGGGCAAAUGCUAGAGAUGCUGGUGUGAGUGGGAAUGAGAGGGUCACCUCCAUCCCGGGCAUGUGUCCUGACGGGCGUGUGACAAUGACCACCAGACCUUGUCACGAGUAACUUGAUACAAAUGCAAACUUUGGUGUCUGGCUGGGAAGGCUCAAAUGAUAAUAGAAUUAAGCUCAUCGUGUUCUAAGACUGUGAGGGCUGCAUCGUAAUUCAGCCUGACUCCUUGUCCCGGCAAUCGUGGAGGCUGGGCUCAAACUGAGGAAUAUUCAGCAAUUGCUGAGCCAGCGGCCAUUAAUAUGCAUGAAGAGUCAGCGCCCUCGGGGGUGACACGUUGGCAGGAGUGGGACGGCCUGGCAUUGGUGGCUCAGCUUCUGUCACUGCCCGAGAAGCUGCCCUGUGCUACCUUCCCCAUCCACCCACAAGCUCAGCCCCCACUGAGCCUUUCCCAAGGGGCCGCCUCUCUUAUCGCUGAGGGUAAGUGUCACUGGGGGGUGGGGGGGAGGGGGAGGCCACAGCUGUCCUCUCACCACUUACCAGGUGCUUUUCUAGCCUCCAGAGAGAGAGAGCCUUGAGCAAAAGCGACAGGACUGCCUGUGCUCGGAGAGCUGCAGCCUCGGUGAGGUGACACUCGUGCCGCGGCAUCACUGAGGCGUCCCCUGAUGUCCCUGCCUUCUGCUUUCUUGGUCUCAAGGCUGAAGUUAAAAAGCCUGUAAUUUUCGGGAGUUCCUGUCGUGGAUCUGUGGGUUACGAACCUGGCUCAUAUCCAUGAGGAUGUGGGUUCAAUCCCUGGCCCCGCUCAGUGGGUUAAGGAUCCGGGGUUGCCAUGAGCUGUGGUGUAGGUUGCCGAUGCAGCUUGGAUCCCGUAUUGCUGUGGUUAUGGUGUAGGCUGGCAGCUGCAGCUCCGGUUGGACCCCUAACCCAGGGACUUCCAUAUGCCACAGGUGCGGCUGUGUAAAGAAAAACAAAAAAAA
This 7868-nucleotide long non-coding RNA is filed under the name Sus scrofa (pig). RNAcentral describes it as "lncRNA (ENSSSCG00035009210.1)". Lineage: Eukaryota; Metazoa; Chordata; Mammalia; Artiodactyla; Suidae. The record is from RNAcentral.